Molecule: long non-coding RNA, 2438 nt
Organism: Dromaius novaehollandiae (emu)
Lineage: Eukaryota; Metazoa; Chordata; Aves; Casuariiformes; Dromaiidae
Exons: 4
Source: RefSeq, a predicted model, not a curated record
GCCCCGCCGCGACCCCCUGCCUCUCCUCCGCGGGGCGGGCGCUCCUGUCGCGCUCCGGGGUAGGGUCCUGCAUGACAGCUUCCUCGCGGCCCUCCCCCCGUGCCGCCGGGAGCGAAAGCCGGGGCCCGGGCCGCCGCUGGGGAGGGGGAGGGCGGCGGGAGUCGGCGGCCGCGGCCUCCUCCUGUCACGGGCCGAGCCGGGGCGCCGCCAUGGCGCGAGCAGGGGCGGGACUGCUGCGCGCGCGCGCCGCGUUCCAUUCAAAGCUCCCAACGGUCACGGAGGGGGAGGGGAGGAGCCGGCGGGCCGCUGGGGGAGCCGGUGACAGGAAGGCAGCGGCGGGGAGCGCUCGGCGGAGGGGGAGAGCAGAAAAGAAAGCGUACACUACUUUACAGAAUUCCCUUUUGGAGAGAGUCAAUUCCUGCAUAGACAUAAUUCAACACGAAAAACCUACUGAACUUUGCUUCUGUAUAUACCUUUGAGAAACUUGCUUUAGAUGCUGGCAUUUCUCCCCACUGUAAAACAGUUUCCUUUGUGAAGUGCCCGUAUAUAUCAAUGUAGAUGCCUUCAUCUUCAUAGGAAGCACACAACUGGAGUUUCUACACCAUUUUCACAAGCCAGCAACACACAGAUCUUUUUUCUUCAAGCACAUACAUUUACGCAUGCCGUAACGGCACAACGAACAGUAAAGAAGCACUGAAGCUGUACUUGCCAAACUGAAUAUACUCUGGCCAACCACUUGACUCCGUGCCUCCGCGACAACUAUCCGUAACACUAGAACGGGUAUCCAGAGUCGCAGAGCAAUUUUAAUGUGUUGCCUUGGUACUCGCAUGAGCAAUCGAAGCAGGUAAGAGAUGGAGAAAGAGGUGGGGAACGAGGAAAAGAGGGUACCAGAAAGCAAAAGUAUCUAAAGUCAGCCUGUUAAAGUCUGGUCUGUUGCCACUACAAAGCUCCUUGAGAGAAUUAUCCAGUCUAUCUGAUGCUCUUUAAAGUAACAAAAUACCGAACAAGAUACAGCCACUGUAGCAGCAGAUUUAUUUCAGGUCUAGAGCUCUUAAGGGAAAAUGUAUUUUUAGUACAUGCUAACUUUUGGUGGAAAAGCACACACAAAUAGAGUCACGGUCCUCUUAAAGGUGCCCCACAUAUUCAGGGCAUUCACCUGGGGAGUAUGUCUCAUCAUGUACAUAAUUAUAUUUGAAGCCUGUUGAAAAACUAGAAGUGCUCAAAAGGUUCACUUUUUUCUUUGCCUUUCAUAUCUUGGGCAAUUAUGCUAAUGAUCUUUUUGACAAGUCAUUAUUCAUCUUGCUUAGCAACCAACUUCCAGGGAUGGCAUGCAGGCAUCAUGGUUAGAUUUAUAAAGUGAUGUCAAUUUUUAACAGCUGCAUAGUUAACAAUGCUACUGAUUGUUGGCUCAAAUAUACCAUUUAACAACAGAAAUGUAAAGUUCCUUUAAAAAACAGCUUUUAGCAAGUGAUUCAACACGUUGUUCUGAAUAUCUAGAAAAGUUAUUUUUAAUUAAAAGAAGUUUAUAAACUAAAAAACCAUCCUCAAACAUUGUAGCUAUUAGAAAUACAGUUUGGAUAGCAUGUGAAGGCUGUCACUUCAGGGUAGCAGGGGUGAUCAAGUGGCUUGCUAAGGAGGAGGCAUGGGUUUUCAUUUGAAUGGAAAACACAGGGCUGAGAGUGGAUUACAAAUAAAAAAAUAAAGAGUUCAAGGCACAGGCUGCAACAUGCAGAUCUGGGAUCAGAUUUCUUCAAAGUUCCCCAAAUUCCCUUUGGGUCACAUUGCCUUGGGAUCUAGUGAGGCAAUGGCACUCAGAUUAGCUAACCCUUUGCCAGUACAGAGCACUGUUGACUUCAAGGAGGUUUUCAUGUGAGCAGAGAAGUCCUCCUGCAGGGAGCCUCCUGCCAGACUGGAGCAGUGGGCACCCAUCAGUGUUUUGAACCUAACUCCCCAAGUUUCUAUGGCUUUUGGAACCCACAAAUUUGAAAAGAACUAUCUGCAGCUAAAAAACAAAAAGACUUCAACCAGAGCAUAAACUUCAUACUGGGCAGCCCCAUGCCUGCCAUUCACGUCUGUAGAGGAAUUACUUUGUUGUUAGCUGAGCUUAAACAGGUUUAUAAUGGUCACCAUCAUUCCAGCAAACUGGUACACAAUACAACAUGUACAAAUCAACCUGAAAUGAACAUCUUCAUGCCAACUUCUGCUUGAAAAUCUAAUGAGAAAGUCCCAAGGAAAGUGUAAAAAUUCUUUUGAAUUUCAGGACUGGUGGUGUGGGCAACUGAGCAGUAAGAUCAGCAAAUGUAUUUAGUCUGGAAGUUGGGAUUCUGCAAAGUCAUGACUGAAAUGCAAAUAACAGGUUGGACACUGAGCUUGGAUCUGUAAUCAUGUAAAACAAAUGUAACUGUGCUCCAAGGUGAAUAAAUUUGGAUUACUCAGGG